This 467-nucleotide ribosomal RNA is filed under the name uncultured bacterium. RNAcentral's name for it is "partial 16S ribosomal RNA". It matches the Rfam family "Bacterial small subunit ribosomal RNA", at positions 28 to 506 of the family's 1533-position model. The record is from RNAcentral.
GACGAACGCUGGCGGCGUGCUUAACACAUGCAAGUCGAACGGAAAGGCCCUGCUUUUGUGGGGUGCUCGAGUGGCGAACGGGUGAGUAACACGUGAGUAACCUGCCCUUGACUUUGGGAUAACUUCAGGAAACUGGGGCUAAUACCGGAUAGGAGCUCCUGCUGCAUGGUGGGGGUUGGAAAGUUUCGGCGGUUGGGGAUGGACUCGCGGCUUAUCAGCUUGUUGGUGGGGUAGUGGCUUACCAAGGCUUUGACGGGUAGCCGGCCUGAGAGGGUGACCGGCCACAUGGGGACGGAGAUACGGCCCAGACUCUUACGGGAGGCAGCAGUGGGGAAUAUGGCACAAUGGGCGGAAGCCUGAUGCAGCAACGCCGCGUGCGGGAUGACGGCCUUCGGGUUGUAAACCGCUUUCGCCUGUGACGAAGCGUGAGUGACGGUAAUGGGUAAAGAAGCACCGGCUAACUACGU